GCGCCCGUAGCUCAACUGGAUAGAGCACCGGCCUUCUAAGCCGGCGGUUGCAGGUUCGAUUCCUGCCGGGCGCGCCA
Molecule: transfer RNA, 77 nt
Filed under: Arenimonas metalli CF5-1
Lineage: Bacteria; Pseudomonadati; Pseudomonadota; Gammaproteobacteria; Lysobacterales; Lysobacteraceae
Also listed under: 8 other names
Description: tRNA-Arg
Rfam family: tRNA
About the family: Transfer RNA (tRNA) molecules are approximately 80 nucleotides in length. Their secondary structure includes four short double-helical elements and three loops (D, anti-codon, and T loops).
Source: RNAcentral